GGAUUGUGGCUCAGUGGUAGACUGCUGGCCUAGUAUGUGAGAGGCGCUGGGUUCGAUCCUCAGCACCA
RNAcentral lists this transfer RNA (68 nucleotides) under Marmota monax (woodchuck). RNAcentral's name for it is "tRNA.Thr". Lineage: Eukaryota; Metazoa; Chordata; Mammalia; Rodentia; Sciuridae. The record is from RNAcentral.